GACGAACGCUGGCGGCGUGCCUAAUACAUGCAAGUAGAACGCUGAAGGAGGAGCUUGCUCUUCUGGAUGAGUUGCGAACGGGUGAGUAACGCGUAGGUAACCUGCCUGGUAGCGGGGGAUAACUAUUGGAAACGAUAGCUAAUACCGCAUAACAGUAGAUGUUGCAUGACAUUUGCUUAAAAGGUGCAAUUGCAUCACUACCAGAUGGACCUGCGUUGUAUUAGCUAGUUGGUGGGGUAACGGCUCACCAAGGCGACGAUACAUAGCCGACCUGAGAGGGUGACCAGCCACAUGGGGACUGGGACACGGCCCAAACUCCUACGGGGGGCAGCAGUGGGGAAUCUUCGGAAAGGGAGGGAAGUCGGACGGAGCAAGGCCGGGGGGUGGAAGAAGGUUUUCGGAUCGAAAAGUCUUUUUUUAAAGGAAAAAGGGGUGGGGGGGGGAAAGUUUCACCCGGGGCCGGUAUUUAACAAAAAAGGGCGGGCUAACAAGGG
This 494-nucleotide ribosomal RNA is filed under the name uncultured bacterium. Its description in RNAcentral is "partial 16S ribosomal RNA". It matches the Rfam family "Bacterial small subunit ribosomal RNA", at positions 28 to 506 of the family's 1533-position model. The record is from RNAcentral.